AGUGAACGCUGGCGGUAGGCCUAACACAUGCAAGUCGAACGGCAGCACAGUAAGAGCUUGCUCUUACGGGUGGCGAGUGGCGGACGGGUGAGGAAUACAUCGGAAUCUACUUUUUCGUGGGGGAUAACGUAGGGAAACUUACGCUAAUACCGCAUACGACCUACGGGUGAAAGCAGGGGAUCUUCGGACCUUGCGCGAUUGAAUGAGCCGAUGUCGGAUUAGCUAGUUGGCGGGGUAAAGGCCCACCAAGGCGACGAUCCGUAGCUGGUCUGAGAGGAAGAUCAGGCACACUGGAACUGAGGCAAGGGUCAAACUCCUAAGGGAGGGAACCGGGGGGGAAUUUUGGCAAAGGGGGGAAGCCUGAUCCAACCAAUACCGGGUGGGGAAAAAGGGCUUCGGGGUGUAAAGCCCUUUUUGUUGGGAAAAAAAGCAGGAAGUUUAAACCCCGCUGUUUUGACGGGACCCAAAGAAUAAGCACCCGCUAAAUUCGUG
Molecule: ribosomal RNA, 492 nt
Filed under: uncultured bacterium
Lineage: Bacteria
Description: partial 16S ribosomal RNA
Rfam family: Bacterial small subunit ribosomal RNA
Source: RNAcentral